CCAAUUUCUCAAUAGUUUAAUUUCAAUAACAUCUCAGUAGAUUUGCAUAGUCUACCUUAACUUGUUCAAAGAAGUCAAUUGCUCCAUCCCCUUUCCAAAUCAAUUUACAGGGAAGCUGAUAGCGCAUUGGACGAGGAUGGUACAGCUAACAAAAAUGGCAAGCGACAGCUCAAGCUCAGCAGUCUUGGCUUCACAGGAGGCAGGAGAAAUAGUGAGGAGAUUGAGUCCAGUGGUAAAGGGCGCUACACGUUUUUCCAGAACCGCAAGCUUGAACAGCUUACACAAUUCUAAAUUAGCAUAAGGAAACUCCAUCAAGUAACAUCAGCAGUUAAAACUAGGUGAAUCAGCCUUAUUGAUCUUAUUGCAAUGUGAAGAGAUAAACAAGUUGAUGUCGGAAGAGAGUUUGAAAGGGAACGAAAAUAACUUAAGAGUUCUUUGUCACAGUUUGGGUUUUCAAAACUCCAAGGGAGGGGCCCUUUACCAAAAAGGAGUUGGAUGAAGUUCGAGACAAGUGGGCUAUUUACUUCAACAAUUGUGAAGUACCCUCAGUGUAAUAAAUAGAGAAGGCUUGUAGUUAUUCGUGACUCUUACAUUAUUUUGUUAUUUAUCGAUUUUAUUAAUUACAUUUGAAUUAAUUCGGUAAUAUUAUUGGAAAUUUGAAAUUUAUAUCAUUUUUGAGAAUGUCAAGCUGAUGUUUGAUGAAACAUAAAUUAUAUUGCAAAAUCAAAAAUUAUAC
Long non-coding RNA from Spinacia oleracea (spinach), 736 nucleotides. RefSeq lists it as uncharacterized. The record is from RefSeq and is a predicted model, not a curated record. The transcript has 4 exons. NCBI's taxonomy places the organism in Eukaryota, Viridiplantae, Streptophyta, Magnoliopsida, Caryophyllales, Amaranthaceae.